AAAGUACCUGGACCUCUAUGCCCAUGCUUCUAGCAGCCAGCCUCCUAAAAUACCUCUAGUUGAAGCCAAAGUUAGAAUCCUUCUAUGAAACUACAGGAUUAAAAUGGAAUGGUUACAUGACCCAGGCUUGACCAAUCAGAUCAUCCAAACCCUUUGCCACAGUGAUUGGUCCAGGGAUACAUGCAUGAGCCAGCUCAGGCCUAAGCCACACUCAUCUUGUGGAUGACACUGGAGCUGUGACAGUCUGUUCUGUCCAGGCUGGGUGUCUUUUAUUUUUAUUGGAAAUAAGAUUAUCACAGAAUUGCUGGCUGUUGAUACUCUUUCCCAUCAACUCCCCAAAUGGAAAUGCUUUCAACCACUGCAGAAGUAAAAAAUUACCCAAAGGCUGUAUGAUGCAAACUCUUUCUUUGGCUUUAUCUUACUGAUAAG
Molecule: non-coding RNA, 429 nt
Filed under: Pan troglodytes (chimpanzee)
Lineage: Eukaryota; Metazoa; Chordata; Mammalia; Primates; Hominidae
Source: RNAcentral